RNAcentral lists this long non-coding RNA (2288 nucleotides) under Homo sapiens (human). RNAcentral's name for it is "HSALNT0165508". The record is from RNAcentral. Lineage: Eukaryota; Metazoa; Chordata; Mammalia; Primates; Hominidae.
UGCUGGGGCAGAAGCAGGGCACUAGAAACCUAUUGCGACUGUCUACCCGACCUGGCUCCCCCCUCAUAUUGUCAGGAAAUGAGCCUGAAUCGCAGGCACAUGCUGCUCACCACAUCCUCAGUACCAGAUGGAGCCUGGAAGUCACCUGGCCCAACUGCUGUCAGUGCAGGUAUGCACGUGUGUCUAUGCGUGGAGAUAAGAUGUGAGUGGAUUCACACAUUGUUGGAUAUGUGUGUAUGUGUGUACAAAUGGGACUAUAACUCUUGUGUAUGUUUGUGAGCAGCUGUGUGAAUUUGUGUCUAUGCACAUGGGCAAGGGACUGUGGGUUGGCACACUCAGGUAGAUCAGAUAAAGGCAAAGACAUGGAUGUGCACGUGAGCCUGAGUUGGCAUAUUGGCAGACUUACAACACAUGCAUGCCCAGGCUAACAGCUGACACGCCAAUUCUCGCUUAUCAAUAGCUGGAGAAGCUGCCAUAAAUCCACCAGAAGAAGAGCUGUCAGAAGCUGACUUUAAGAUGACACUAUGUGGUACUGCACUGCAGGUACCAUGGCAAGGAGGUCCCAGGAGACAGGGAGCUCACCACCCUUCAGGGGUGACGGGCAUUUGGAAGACAGUGUGACUGGUGUGCCUGAGGCUGCCCAGGCUCUGUAAGUGAGGGUCAGGUCCCAUGUCUCAUGGCAGAUGAGUCCUACUGAGCCUUGACAAGCCAAGACCUUCCAUACUGCAAGGUCAAGAUCAGGGUCCAUGGUGAGAACCACCAUAAAGAGCUGCUGUUUUCCCAGGUCCUUAGGUGAUUUGAGGACAGGGUUGUAUCUAGGGUGACCGCCAAAUACCAGGUUACCUUAGGCUUUGCUGGUUUUAGCAUUGAAAGUCCUGCAUCCCUGGAAACCCCUCAGUCCCAGGCAAAUUUGGGCAGCUGGUUACACUAGCAGAUCUGAACCUAAAACAGCUGAAGGAAGCAGCAGGAGUUGGAGUGGGGGGUGUGGAGGGUCUUUCUCAGACCCUUCUACAUCAGAAUAGAAGUCAGAUGUAAUGGUGCUGCCUGUAUUCUCAGCUGCUCAGGAGGCUGAGGCAGGAGAGUCUUUUGAUCCCUAGAGUUCAGGGCCAGCCUGGGCAACAUAAUAACACCCUAUCUCUAAAAAGAAAGAAGAAGAAAAUACAAAGUAAAAUACAAAACUGGGGCUCUGGAAGGAAUGUGUGAUGUGUGAGUGAGAGGCCUAGAAGCUGAAGCUUCAGUAGAUUCAAGAUCAUCUUCUUCUGCCAUGAAAAGGGUUUGAACCAGGCGGGCACAGUGGCUCAUGCCUGUAAUCCCAGCACUUUGGGAGGCCAAGAUGGGUGGAUCACCUGAGGUCAGGAGUUCAAGACUAGCCUGGCCAACAUGGUGAAACCCCGUCUCUACCAAAAAAAAAAAAAAGAAAAAAAAUUUGCUGGGCAUGGUGGCGUGCACCUGUAAUGCCAAUAUUUGAAAGGCUGAGGCAGGAGAAUCACUUGAACCUAGGAGACAGAGGUUGCAGUGAGCUGAGAUCCGCCAUUGCACUCCAGCCUGGGUGACCGAGUGAGACUCCAGCUCAAAAAAAAAAAGAGUUUGAACCUUCUUUGGAGCCAACCCAAACUGUAUGUGAAUCCAAGCUCUGCACCUCAGAGAGAAUAAGUCACUUGCUUGGUCGUACACAGCCAAUGAGGAAAUCUCCCUCCUCUGCAAAGCAGAGAAAAUCACAUUGGGAGAGCAGUGCAGGUCAAAUAAGAUAAUAUGGGCAAAUAUACAUAAGCACACAUACAGCACAUGGCAUGUAGGCUACUCCUUCCCCUUCCCUCUCCAGUGCAUGGCUGUUGACUGAGGGAACUGAGGAGAGAGAAAUCAACGGCCCUAGAUUGGUGAGGAGCAGGGCUAACAGGACCCAGGGAGAGCUGGCUUUUCUCGGCCCACCAAGACAUCUACUCCAGGAAACCUUGGCUCUGCCUCUGGCUCCUGGGAAAUCCACGGCAAGACUCAGUCUCCACAUCCCUAUAUGGGACUUGCAGAAUACUUGCCUUAGCUUUGUCCCAGCACUUUGGGAGGCAGAUUCAGAACAUCUGUGCAAUUUAAAGUGUGUCUUUUCAGCAAAAGAGCCAAGCCUAAGGAGACUCAACAAGGGUUUCGGCCAAUUAGGCCUGAAAACUGCUGCACAUUCUAAAACCAUUGAUUCAUCUUCCUUCUUCUCUGCAAAUCCCUGACCCUUGCUCACAGUAGAUCAUGUAGGGCUAGACCAAGGGAUGGGGGGUGCUCUGUUCCCUCAAAGGCCCCUG